This 797-nucleotide ribosomal RNA is filed under the name uncultured fungus. RNAcentral's name for it is "eukaryotic LSU rRNA". The stretch from base 292 to 445 matches the Rfam family "5.8S ribosomal RNA". Lineage: Eukaryota; Fungi. The record is from RNAcentral.
CCAACGAGAACCGUUUUCCCGUCUCCCUGUGUGUAGAAUGAAUUGGAACCAGUUUGAGGGAGUGAUGGGACCGAAAGGUCGGCCUUCCUGGAACACUUAUGCAGAUAGAAAUAUUUGCAUAGACAAUUGAAUCUAUAUCACAGGCUAUUUCUUAUCGCUUUGAUCUCCAUCAUGAUCGUGGCGGUAGGGAAGCCUUCACUUAAUUUACCUUUUUUGCUAGUUGACUUUUUAUAUGUGUUGUUUUGCGAAAGCAAGGUGGCACACGUUUAUUAAUUGAACGUUAAAAAAUACAACUCUUAGCAAUGGAUAUCUUGGUUCUCGCAACGAUGAAGAACGCAGCGAAAUGCGAUACGUAAUGCGAAUUGCAGAAUUCAGUGAAUCAUCAAAUCUUUGAACGCAAAUUGCGCUCUUGGGUAGCCCUAGGAGCACGCCUCUCUCAGUAUCGGUUCAACAAUCUCUCAGCAGCGUGUAGAAAUACGCGUGUUGGCAGGAUAAUGAGAGUCUGAGUUUAUCUCAGUCUCUUUAAAUUCAUUGAAUAAAUAUGACUAUCGAUCAACUCUGCUUCGGCAGAUAGUCUCUCUCAGACUGUUGUUCAUUAGUGACGUGAAUACUGGCCUUUAUUGGUCUUCUUUACGUGUAUCUUUUGAGCAAUAUUAAAGUCUAGGAAAGGUGAACGUUCGUGUAGGGUGUAUUUAUGGAAGAAAACCAUAUGAUAGUAGUUAAUUCAUUUUGAUUAUUAUCUGAAUUUUGAUCUGAGAUGAAGCGAGACAACCCCCUGAAUUUAAGCAUAUUAAUAA